This is a non-coding RNA of Musa acuminata subsp. malaccensis (wild Malaysian banana), 90 nucleotides long. NCBI's taxonomy places the organism in Eukaryota, Viridiplantae, Streptophyta, Magnoliopsida, Zingiberales, Musaceae. The record is from RefSeq and is a predicted model, not a curated record.
AUUUCUUCUUGGAAAAAAUCACAUCACCUUUUCAUUCUUUUUUACUUUUAAAGUUUGGAGAGCUGAUACAGUCUAAACACAUUGACAAUG